Molecule: transfer RNA, 132 nt
Filed under: Phaeoacremonium minimum UCRPA7
Lineage: Eukaryota; Fungi; Ascomycota; Sordariomycetes; Togniniales; Togniniaceae
Description: tRNA-Und (NNN) (tRNA-Und-NNN-3-1)
Rfam family: tRNA
About the family: Transfer RNA (tRNA) molecules are approximately 80 nucleotides in length. Their secondary structure includes four short double-helical elements and three loops (D, anti-codon, and T loops). Further hydrogen bonds mediate the characteristic L-shaped molecular structure. tRNAs have two regions of fundamental functional importance: the anti-codon, which is responsible for specific mRNA codon recognition, and the 3' end, to which the tRNAs corresponding amino acid is attached (by aminoacyl-tRNA synthetases). tRNAs cope with the degeneracy of the genetic code in two manners: having more than one tRNA (with a specific anti-codon) for a particular amino acid; and 'wobble' base-pairing, i.e. permitting non-standard base-pairing at the 3rd anti-codon position.
Source: RNAcentral
GACGGGAUGGCCGAGUGGUUAAGGUAAGAUACCCCACACACUUUCCAAAAGAAGAAGCACUAACCAGCAACAGGCGAUGCCCUGCUAAGGCAUUGGGUUCUGCCCGCGUGUGUUCGAAUCGCACUCUCGUCG